UUUUUUUUUUUUUUUUUCCAUCCCUCAUUUUAUUCUCGCCAUAAACAAUCAGGUCCACUCUCUCCGUCGCAGGAGCGAGGCCAGCGCUAAUUCAUUAUCCGGCUUGUUUUGUUUCCUGGCAGUCUGCAGGUGUGUGGCGCAAGGACGUUUAUCGACGCCGCCGCCGCUCGGCAUUUCCUUUAUUCUCCGCGUACAGUAUCGAUCUGGUCUCUGACCGCUCCCCGUCUCAUCUCGGCCGACGACCGUAGAAACGACGAACCGAAGCCGGCAGGUCGGGAUCCAGCAUGGACCUUCUCUGGUUUGGCCAUGAUGGAUAUGGAAGACGUCCCAGCAUCCGUAGAUUUAACGUCCAACGUUGAAGGAUCAACUUUGGUGUGUUCAUGCAGUUUAAAACCAUGUAGCCUUUUCGCUAAACAGCUUCAUACUGGUGAAGAAGCCGACACUUCCUUAUACGAGGUCGUCGACUAAUCGUAGGGUCGGCGGUUCGAUCCCCGGCCCACGUGCCGAAGUGUCCUUGGGCAAGACACUAAUCCCCAAGUUGCUCCCGAUGGCAGGCUGUCGCCUUGCAUUGAUGUGUUUGUGUGAAUGAGAACCAGUGUAGUGUGACACGCUUUUUAAUAGAAUUAUUUUGAUUAUAUGAUUUAGUGCUGCUGCCUCGAUAUAUCCGACUUCCAAACCGCACUUAAAAAAAAGUUUUGUUUUUUUUAUAUCCGCCGUAUGAGAUGUUCAUUAUUUUAACAAGAAUUGUAAGCGUUGUCAUGUUGCUGAGGUGCACGAGGAAUAAAACACUUCAGGACGUUCUGCUAUGAGAAAAUGAAUCAACUUCUGGGUGGUCACACAACCCUCACACAACCCUGUUGUCGAUUAUUUACCUGUAACAUCACACCGAAACGUCCUUUUCCUUUUAUUUGUCUCACUCUCUCUUGAACAUGAGCUUUCAGGAUUGACCGGAGUAACAGAUUUCGUGGCAGAGAGGAGAACACGUCUCUGAGCUGAAGAGUUUGUCUAAUUAUGAAGACUUUACGCAAGAUUUUGGCACACACACACACACACACACACACACACAGGACAUUUGCCCAUUUAAUCCUCCAUUAGCUGCCCGGUGGCGCCAGACAAGCUGGCAGGAAAACUCGUGUCACGCACAAUGUCAUCAAAGCGAGCCACGGCAGGUGAGGUCAUCAUCCCCCAGCGCGAGUCCUUACUACACCAGCAGGGGGCAUUAGCAUGGGCUCUUUAAUAGCACACACAUUUAUCUCGUUCCGUCUCUCUCGAUCUCUCGGCCUAUCCUGUAUGACCUUGGUGUAAUGUUUUGGGGAUUGCGCUCCCCUAAGUGCUGUCCAACAUCUCGCUCCUAAUGAAUAUCCCUCUUACAUUACACCGAGCACUUCAGCUUUAUAAGCAGCCUGUGAUUGAACAGAUAGUGGAGCGUUAUUUUUUGUGAAUGAUCCAUUUUAAUCUCACUAUCUCUGGUUUCUCUCUCUUUCUUCCUGUUCUCUUGCAGAAGGAUCUGCCAUUGCCACGGAAGAGCAGCGGGUAACGUACCACCACCAUACCCUGUCGCCACACUAUCCACUUAAGCUUAGUUUAUAUGUCUGUUCAGGAGCUUUUCUGCCUGCACGCGCUUGGAAAUGAAUAAAGUUAGUUAGCUAGUCUGAAGGGUUCUUUUGGUUUGUCCCUCUCAGAGAACCCAUAAAAGAAGGGGUUCUUUUCAUUCCCCCGUUUCCUGAAGGCUAGAACUCUUAACCGUCCAGAAACAAACCCUUUAAACGGAAAAUCUGACAUGUUUCGAACAGGCCGUAAUGCAGUUUUUUAUGUUUUCGAGCGCACAGACACACACACACACACACACACCUGCCAAAAGCCUCAUUUGCUAAUUUAUCUAGUUUGAGACUAAGCCCAUUUUAGUUCCAGCACAAUAACACACUUCAUUUUCUCACUCCAUUAAAAAUAAUCAGUAAAUUGAAUAAUUUCAUAUGCCUAGGAGUGAAGGAGGCGUGGCCUCUGUGCGUCAGUCUCAGUGAAGGAGGCGUGGCCUCUGUGCGUCAGUCUCGGUGAAGGAGGCGUGGCCUCUGUGCGUCAGUCUCGGUGAAGGAUGCGUGGCCUCUGUGUGUCAGUCUCGGUGAAGGAGGCGUGGCCUCUGUGUGUCAGUCUCAAUGAAGGUGUGGCAUCUGUCUGUCAGUCUCAGUGAAGGACUUCUGAAACUUUUUUUUUUUUUUUUUUAACACUCUACUCCGCAUGCCCAGCAUUAAAUCAUAUGUAUCACAGACGAAAGUUUCAUAUUAAUGAAUGCUUUAAGCUAAGAUCAGGGUUUUGUGAGUCAGAAUUCUGGAGAAAAGCCCCCCACAUGAUCUGCCCAUUAAUAUCCAACCAAUCAGGACAAGGAGUAUCUGUAGUUUCUGUCAAUCAUGUGGCCCGAGAGUGUUUUUGGGGGCGUUGUUUUGGAUAGAACAGCGAGGAAAGAGGCUGUAUUUGUUCAGAUUUUGACUUUCUAUCCACUCGCUUUAGCUCACGUCCAGCCAGAUCACUGACCGCACCUUUUAAUGCGUCUUUCGUCUGGUCGUCGAGUACAUAUUAAUACGCCACACGCUGUCAUCUUGGACGCAGAGCAAUACACAGCACACACCUGACACACCGCACCUGGUGCACACGUGAGCUGACCCCGUUUAGGAAGGACACGGUGAUGAGCUGAUGAGCUAGGAACCGUAAACUGAGCAGCAGUGUGGGGUCUCACUGAGACGCUCUCCAUGGUGCUGAACACCGUCCUAGCUCUGUUUUACACACACGCACACACACACAUGACUCCUCAUGUCUGUCUUUCAUGACUGUGUAUAUCCAUGCUUCUUGGUUGUUUUUGUUCUUUGCUGCACCGGUGACUCCGUGAUGAAUCAAUUUUAUUAACUCAAGCUGAAAUAAACAUUUCCACACACUCAUCUCAUUUCAUGAAUCUCAAUGGAGGUGCUCUGUGCAUGUACGUGUGUGUGUGUUCAUUUUUAGCAGGUGCUGCGUUUUGAUCCAUUACUGCCACUGUUCAGGUACCUGCUAAAAGCAACUCUUCAUGAAAGUGCGCACGACAUACAAGCUGACACGGACGUGCACACACGCGCGCGCACACACACACACACACACGCACAGCUGUCUCUCAGUCGCUUAUCAGUAUGCAGUGAAUAAAGCUGUUGGGAAUGAAGCUGGGAUCGUAAUCGUGUGAGCGUUAAAGCAGUGAAGUGUAAACACAUGAUGGAGGAUUGGACGACUCGGUUAUUAACGCACGUGUCAUAAAGCUUCACGAACGAGCGCGCUUAGUCUUACAGCAUGAUCAGAGUUCAGGUCACAUGACUAGACAUUUACUCAAGCUGUAAAUCUUCCAUCUUUAUGCAGACGCUCAUGUUCAUCUGUCUAAAUACGUAUUUCAUAUUUUGAAGUGAAUACAGUCUAUUUUUCAGAAUAGAAAUGAAUUCAUACCUUGUUUUUGUUACGGUAGAUUCUCUGCUGGGUUUAAAUAGAUCAUAUGUAAAAAGGUCACGAUUUAAAUCUAGAUUAUUAAAGGCAGGUUGUUAAAUCCAGAUUAUUAAAGGCCGGUUGUUAAAUCCAGAUGAUUAAAUCCAGGUUAUUAAAUCUGUAUUGUUAAAUCCAGAUGAUUAAAUCCAGGUUAUUAAAUUUAGAUUAUUAAAUCCAGAUCAUUAAAUCCAGAUGAUUUAAAUCCAGGUUAUUAAAUCUAGAUUAUUAAAACCAGAUUAAUUAAAUCCAGAUUAUGAAUCUAGAUUAUUAAAUCCAGGGUCUUAAUCUAGAUUAUUAAAUCCAGGUUAUUAAAUCCAGGGUCUUAAAUCUAGAUUAUUAAAUGCAGAUUAUUAAAUCUAGAUUAUUAAAUCCAGGUUAUUAAAUGCAGGUUGUUAAAUCUAGAUGAUUAAAUCUAGAUUAUUAAAUCCUGAUGAUUUAAAUCCAGGUUCUUAAAUCCAGAUUAUUAAAUGCAGGUUGUUAAAUCUAGAUUAUUAAAUCCAGAUUAUUAAAUCCAGAUUAUUAAAUGCAGGUUGUUAAAUCUAGAUUAUUAAAUCCAGAUUAUUAAAACCAGGUUAUUAAAUCCAGAUUAUUAAAUGCAGGUUGUUAAAUCUAGAUUAUUAAAUCCAGAUUAUUAAAACCAGGUUAUUAAAUCCAGAUUAUUAAAUGCAGGUUGUUAAAUCUAGAUGAUUAAAUCCAGAUUAUUUAAAUCCAGGUUAUUAAAUCCAGAUUAUUAAGUAUUUAUUUUCAUUUUACACCAAAGCGCUGUUGAAUUCUGGAUUGUGAUUGGUCAGAAGGUGGCGAUUCAUUUUCUAUCAGCAGCUCUGACAGCUCUGCCGACUGACACGUUAUGGUUUCUAUAGUAACCGCUCAUUCGCAGGCCACGUAAUCUAAGCCUAAUACUAAACAGUUGAAAACCUGCCGUUUUUUAACAAAGAAACGAAGGAAUGAAUGUUUAUAGCUGCUAUAACGUAUGCGAUAACAGGAGCUAAAUUGUUUACAGAACAUUCAAAAUGUACAAUAAAUGGAUCAAAAUAUGACGUCUUUCUUUAUGAAACAGUCUUUCUGAUGCUCGGCGAAUUGCUGCGGCGGAAGAGGAAUGAAACGCGCUGCUUUGGGAAAAUAAUCGACUCUGCUUCAUCACAACCUUCCAUUGUUGAUCGUUUUCCUACAGCAGCACGCCCCGAAGUGUUUUAUUCCCGACUUCUUAUGCUGCCUCGACGUUUCAUUUUCUACUCUUGACCUAUUUUGGCCGUGAGAGAGCGAUGAGAAAGUUGUCUGGGAAAUGAAUAUAUGGGUCAGUGUUCAUCUCAUUUUCCCACAUCAGGGACAUGUUAAUUAUUCAAAUUGAAUUUCAACGAUUUGUCAUCAUCAUCUCUGCGUGUGUGCGUGUGUGUGUGCGUGUGUGUGUGCGCGUGCAGUUUGUUAUAGUAGGUCAAAGAGAUGAUGUCACUUCAUAAGCAAUAUGGCAUGGAAAAACAGGCUGAGGG
Molecule: long non-coding RNA, 4982 nt
Organism: Ictalurus punctatus (channel catfish)
Lineage: Eukaryota; Metazoa; Chordata; Actinopteri; Siluriformes; Ictaluridae
Source: Ensembl